RNAcentral lists this ribosomal RNA (301 nucleotides) under uncultured bacterium. Its description in RNAcentral is "partial 16S ribosomal RNA". It matches the Rfam family "Bacterial small subunit ribosomal RNA", at positions 509 to 807 of the family's 1533-position model. The record is from RNAcentral.
CAGUAGCCACGGUAAUCCGUAGGUGGCAAGCGUUGUCCGGAAUUAUUGGGCGUAAAGGGCUCGCAGGCGGUUUCUUAAGUCUGAUGUGAAAGCCCCCGGCUCAACCGGGGAGGGUCAUUGGAAACUGGGAAACUUGAGUGCAGAAGAGGAGAGUGGAAUUCCACGUGUAGCGGUGAAAUGCGUAGAGAUGUGGAGGAACACCAGUGGCGAAGGCGACUCUCUGGUCUGUAACUGACGCUGAGGAGCGAAAGCGUGGGGAGCGAACAGGAUUAGAUACCCCAGUAGUCCCUGUCUCUUAUAC